RNAcentral lists this ribosomal RNA (253 nucleotides) under uncultured bacterium. RNAcentral describes it as "partial 16S ribosomal RNA". It matches the Rfam family "Bacterial small subunit ribosomal RNA", at positions 524 to 776 of the family's 1533-position model. The record is from RNAcentral.
UACAGAGGUGGCAAGCGUUGUUCGGAAUUAUUGGGCGUAAAGGGCGCGUAGGCGGCCUUGCAAGUCCGGUGUGAAAUCCCUCGGCUCAACUGAGGAACUGCACAGGAAACUGCUUGGCUUGAGUUCGGGAGAGGGAAGCGGAAUUCCGGGUGUAGCGGUGAAAUGCGUAGAUAUCCGGAGGAACACCGGUGGCGAAGGCGGCUUCCUGGACCGUCACUGACGCUGAGGCGCGAAAGCUAGGGGAGCAAACGGG